AGCGUAAUAGCUCACUAGUCGAGUCGGCCUGCGCGGAAGAUGUAACGGGGCUAAAACUAUGUGCCGAAGCUGCGGAUUUGACAUUAGUCAAGUGGUAGGGGAGCGUUCUGUAAGCCGAUGAAGGUGUAUUGAGAAGUANAUGCUGGAGGUAUCAGAAGUGCGAAUGCUGACGUGAGUAACGACAAAACGGGUGAAAAACCCGUUCGCCGAAAGACCAAGGGUUCCAGUCCAACGUUAAUCGGGGCUGGGUGAGUCGACCCCUAAGGCGAGGCCGAAAGGCGUAGUCGAUGGGAAAAUGGUUAAUAUUCCAUUACUUCUGUGUAAUGCGAUGAGAGGACGGAGAAGGCUAAAUCAGCCUGGCGUUGGUUGUCCAGGUGAAAGGAUGUAGGCAUGUAUCUUAGGCAAAUCCGGGGUACUCUAUGCUGAGAUCUGAUAGCAAGCUGUACUUGUACAGCGAAGUGGUUGAUGCCAUGCUUCCAGGAAAAGUCUCUAAGCUUCAGUUACACAGGAAUCGUACCCGAAACCGACACAGGUGGUCAGGUCGAGUAGACCAAGGCGCUUGAGAGAACUCUGCUGAAGGAACUAGGCAAAAUGGUACCGUAACUUCGGGAGAAGGUACGCUGUUGUUGGUGAUGGAACUCGCUUCCUGAGCUGACGACAGCCGCAGAAACCAGGCCGCUGCAACUGUUUAUUAAAAACAUAGCACUCUGCAAACACGAAAGUGGACGUAUAGGGUGUGAUGCCUGCCCGGUGCUGGAAGGUUAAUUGAUGGGGUUAGCGUAAGCGAAGCUCUUGAUCGAAGCCCCAGUAAACGGCGGCCGUAACUAUAACGGUCCUAAGGUAGCGAAAUUCCUUGUCGGGUAAGUUCCGACCUGCACGAAUGGCAUAAUGAUGGCGGCGCUGUCUCCAGCAGAGGCUCAGUGAAAUCGAAAUCGCUGUGAAGAUGCAGUGUACCCGCGGCUAGACGGAAAGACCCCGUGAACCUUUACUGCAGCUUGACACUGAACUUUGACCUUACUUGUGUAGGAUAGGUGGGAGGCUUUGAAGCUGGAACGCUAGUUCCAGUGGAGCCGUCCUUGAAAUACCACCCUGGUAAUGUUGAGGUUCUAACUCUGUCCCGUGAUCCGGGACGAGGACCGUGUCUGGUGGGUAGUUUGACUGGGGCGGUCUCCUCCUAAAGAGUAACGGAGGAGUACGAAGGUGCGCUCAGCGUGGUCGGAAAUCACGCGUAGAGUAUAAAGGCAAAAGCGCGCUUAACUGCGAGACCCACAAGUCGAGCAGGUACGAAAGUAGGUCUUAGUGAUCCGGUGGUUCUGUAUGGAAGGGCCAUCGCUCAACGGAUAAAAGGUACUCUGGGGAUAACAGGCUGAUACCGCCCAAGAGUUCAUAUCGACGGCGGUGUUUGGCACCUCGAUGUCGGCUCAUCUCAUCCUGGGGCUGAAGCAGGUCCCAAGGGUAUGGCUGUUCGCCAUUUAAAGAGGUACGCGAGCUGGGUUUAGAACGUCGUGAGACAGUUCGGUCCCUAUCUACCGUGGGCGCUGGAAAUUUGAGAGGAUCUGCUCCUAGUACGAGAGGACCAGAGUGGACGAACCUCUGGUGUACCGGUUGUGACGCCAGUCGCAUCGCCGGGUAGCUAUGUUCGGAAGGGAUAACCGCUGAAAGCAUCUAAGCGGGAAGCCUACCUCAAGAUAAGAUUUCCCUAGGACUUUAUGUCCUCUAAAGAGCCGUUCGAGACUAGGACGUUGAUAGGUUGGAUGUGGAAGCAUAGUGAUAUGUGAAGCUGACCAAUACUAAUUGCUCGUGAGGCUUGACUAUACAACACCCAAGCAGUUG
Molecule: ribosomal RNA, 1833 nt
Filed under: Acinetobacter baumannii
Lineage: Bacteria; Pseudomonadati; Pseudomonadota; Gammaproteobacteria; Moraxellales; Moraxellaceae
Description: partial 23S ribosomal RNA
Rfam family: Bacterial large subunit ribosomal RNA
Source: RNAcentral